CCGGCACGGGUGAGUAACACGUAUCCAACCUGCCGUCUACUCUUGGACAGCCUUCUGAAAGGAAGAUUAAUACAAGAUGGCAUCAUGAGUCCGCAUGUUCACAUGAUUAAAGGUAUUCCGGUAGACGAUGGGGAUGCGUUCCAUUAGAUAGUAGGCGGGGUAACGGCCUACCUAGUCUUCGAUGGAUAGGGGUUCUGAGAGGAAGGUCCCCCACAUUGGAACUGAGACACGGUCCAA
This 237-nucleotide ribosomal RNA is filed under the name uncultured bacterium. Its description in RNAcentral is "partial 16S ribosomal RNA". It matches the Rfam family "Bacterial small subunit ribosomal RNA", at positions 100 to 334 of the family's 1533-position model. The record is from RNAcentral.